Molecule: long non-coding RNA, 119 nt
Organism: Engraulis encrasicolus (European anchovy)
Lineage: Eukaryota; Metazoa; Chordata; Actinopteri; Clupeiformes; Engraulidae
Exons: 3
Source: RefSeq, a predicted model, not a curated record
CCACAGUUGUCUCAUCCUCGUGCCAGAGCAGUCCUCUUCUUCUGUGAGGUGGUCAAGGAUCAAAUCAGACAAAAUGACUGAGAAAAGGAUGUCUUCGAGUCGGAAACAUAACCUUAAGG